Molecule: RNA transcript, 444 nt
Organism: Otolemur garnettii (small-eared galago)
Lineage: Eukaryota; Metazoa; Chordata; Mammalia; Primates; Galagidae
Gene name: 60S ribosomal protein L31 pseudogene
Exons: 1
Source: RefSeq, a predicted model, not a curated record
GCUCUUUCUUUCCAUCUUGGGACCUGCAGAAUGGCUCCCACAAAGAAGGGUGGUAAGAAGAAGAAGGGUGGAUCUGCCAUCAAUGGGAUGAUGACUCAAGAACACACCAUCAACGUUCACAAACACAUCCAUGGAGGGGGCUUUAAGAAGCAUGCACCUCAGGCAUUCAAAGAGAUCUGGAAAUUUGUCAUAAAAGAGAUGGGGACUCCAGAUGUGCACAUUGAUACCAGGCUCAACAAAGCUGUCUGGGCCAAAGGCAUUAGGAAUGUCCCAUACUGUAUCUGUAGCAGUUGUCCAGAAAACAUAAUGAAAAUGAAGAUUCACCAAACAAGCUCUAUACUUUGGUUACCUAUGUACCUGUUACCACUUUCAAAAAUCUACAGACAGUCCAAGUGGAUGAGAACUAAUUGGUGAUUGUCAGACACAUCAAAUAAAGUUAUAAAA